RNAcentral lists this ribosomal RNA (1125 nucleotides) under Triticum aestivum (bread wheat). RNAcentral describes it as "partial small subunit ribosomal RNA". The record is from RNAcentral. Lineage: Eukaryota; Viridiplantae; Streptophyta; Magnoliopsida; Poales; Poaceae.
AUGCCACACACUUUAGGAACUGUAAGCGCAUCAUCACACAAGAAAGAUCAGUCGUCAAGCGACGCUAAUCUUGGUCAGAUCCAACAAACACCAGUCCAUGGCACCUCUUCAGCUACCAACAAAGACUUCCCAUGGGACGACCCUGAUAUGGUAGCGCAGUUGAUCGAGUCUACCGAUAGGAUUGAGGAAGAGUGGUUUUCACAACAAAGACAAACUCAGUAUACCACAUCAGUUACACAAGACAUCCACAUAUCAGAGAUCAAGCCCAAUGAGAUUUGUUGCAACUUCACCUCAAAUCCAGUCGAAAGUGCUGUUUUCAGCGACAUUGUGUCACGAAUACCACCCCAUUCAAGGCAAAAGAGCCCAAGAAUAGUACAAAUGGGCUCGACAUGGGUUGAACAUAGGGUUUUUGGCCUGAGCAUGCAAGUGUAUGGCCGGGUCAAUAAGUACGUGAUCAAUAUGUUGGGAAAAGCAGUAAUGGCCGAGCAAACCGAAAAGGAUAGGCUCAAUCUUCUCCCGCGAAGUUACUGGUCAAGAUACUAUGUCGAAUGCGACACUGCUAAAUUAUUCCAAAAGGCAUUUGAAACUCCAUUGGCGUUAUCUGUUCACCUGAGGGAGACAAUGAUAGGAUUCCAUCUUGACCGAAUUCACAUGGUGUUUUUACCUUUAAGCUCAUACAGUUUCUGGUACACGGUUGUUGCUAACUUUAGGAAGAAAUUGUUCGAAGUCCUCUGCCCAAACAACAGAAUCGACUUGAUUGCUGACGAAGCUCAGCUUGUAAUCAAGAAUUUCAAAGCGGCUUUCAAGCUGGCAUACAAGAGAUCACAACUAAAUGUGACUGACAUGGGUGUGUCUUUCCGGAGUGUGUGCUCUUCAACUAAAGAGGCAGAUAGUGGGAUCUUCACAAUGAAGUUGGUACAAGGACAUGAUGGAGACAACACUUUGUGUUUUGAACCCGAGCAUGCAAAGAGCCUGCGCGAGAGUCUAACUUACUACAUGGUUGCUCACCCUUGCAACGAAAAACUGAUGCCAGAAACCAAAGAAAUCUUAAGAAAAUAUGGUGUUCCAUUUGACUACUCGACUCCAGGGUAUUCUCCAUGGGGUCCUGUUGCAGAACAAUGUUAA